Molecule: ribosomal RNA, 270 nt
Filed under: uncultured archaeon
Lineage: Archaea
Description: partial 16S ribosomal RNA
Rfam family: Archaeal small subunit ribosomal RNA
Source: RNAcentral
CUGCAGCCCGAGUGGUGAUCGAUUUUAUUGAGCCUAAAGCGUCCGUAGCCGGACUAGUAAACCCUUGGGUAAAUUGGGCAGCUUAACUGUCCAAAUUCCGAGGGGACUGCUAGUCUUGGGACCGGGAGAGGUCAGAGGUACUCAAGGGGUAGGGGCUAAAUCCUGUCAUCCUUUGGGGACCACCAGUGGCGAAGGCGUCUGACUAGAACGGAUCCGACGGUAAGGGACGAAACCCUGGGGCGCGAACCGGAUUAGAUACCCGAGUAGUCC